CUGAGCUCCUCUCCGUGUUCAUCUCUUCCUGGUCAGUAAAGGUUGAUGUGUUAAGAGGGUGGGCACUGGGGUCUCCUUUCUUGGUGGGAGCAGGAAGGAGAUGGACAGGGCCAUCCUGUGACCAUCAGCCAUUGCCAGCUUUGCCUUUGGGACCACAGAGCCCAUCUGCUUCCUCUGCAGCUCCCCCUGCCCCACUAGCCUGUCUGGGUUUGGAAUCUGCUCCUCUGGCUGAAUGGUCUCCAGGUUUCCAGCUUCCCUUAGCGUCAUGGGGCUCCAGGCUCCUCCCAUUCCCAGCUCCUGCUGUGGGCUCCCCAAGUCCGUCUCUAUCCUCUCACAGCACAGGACCCAGGCUUGGCCAGUGGGUCCCCAGGUGGGGGUGGGAGUGGUCAGUUUGUGGCCCACGGCCAAUAAGAGAUGGCUAUUCUAAUGGUGCCUGGCUGACCCCAGGGUCACUGUGGGCUGAUGUAGCUGCUCUUCUGCCUGACCCCUGACCCUGAGUGUGUGUGCGUGUUCCUCUUCCACAACUCUUCAGGCAAAGAGAACCUUGACCCUGCAUCUGUCUGUCCCCAGCCCAGCCCUCCUUUGAGGCUCAUGCUGUGACACAUCCCUGUUUUUCACCAAAUGGAGGGAACAACCACAGAUAUUUCCUUGUGCACGCAGGACCCUGUGCUAGGGCUGAGGGCUUUGUCUUUGUCCUGCUCUGGAAAGUCUCACAGUUUGAUUGGAGAGCUAGAUCUAAACUCAGAUGCAGGCCAUGACAACGCUGUGGGGUGCCCGGCCAUGGGGCUCCAGGCAGGAUCAUAACCCUGAGAACAACAAUGAGGUUUGAAAGAUGAGCAGAUGUUGUUUAUAGGCAAAAGGGGACAGGCACUCCUGGUAGAAGAAACUGCUUUUGCAAAGGCCUCGAGAACAGAAGGGACUGGCAGGUGGAGGAGCCGAGAGAUGGAGGAGGAGGCAAGGCCAGAUCCUGAAGGGCCUUAAAUGCCAGGUUGUGGAGUUUGGCUUUAUUCUGUGGGCAGUGGAGAACCAGAGAAAGGUUUUCAGUAGGAGAGUGACUCAGAAGUGCAUUUUAGAAAGAUCCCCCUGGAGAGCAGGGAAGUGACUGCAAGGGGAGAGGGUGGGCAGGGAUUAUUCUAUGGGUGAUGUGCUGUGCCCUGGGCUGGGCGAGGAGAGGAAUUCAGGAGAUCUGUGGGGGCUCUGUUCAGCAUCACCCUCACCCACAACAGGUAUUGGGUGGAGCCUCUGGCAGGGGUGAGCUCCCUGCAAAGGUGAGCAAAACAGCUAUCUGAGGAUGCCCAGGGAGGAGAGGUGGGAGGAAGGGAGAGAGGACAGAUGGGAGGAGGCUCUGCACAGAGCCUGAGGACAGCCCUCACCAGGUUACAGAACACAAGGCUUGACCCCAUUGGCUUCCUGUAGCUGUCCUGCUCUCCCAACUUAAUGGUUUCAUUUUGCAUUUUAUUUAAAUUUCACAAUGAUUCUAGCAGAUACCAUUAGUCUAUUCUGCAGCCAAGUUGUCUAAGGUUUGGAGAGGUUAAGUAAUGCACCAAGGUUAGGAUUUGAGCCCUACCUGUCUGAUUCCCCUCCGAGAGCUGUCUGAUUCCUUUCUCCUCCUCUGGGAUAGGGAAAGGAGACUCAGAAGGACGGGGUCUCCAUCUUCAGUCUUUGCAAGACUAUUGUAGGGCAUUGGGAUGGUGAGCACAAAGUGGGUUGAAGCCCCAGAGAAAGAGCUGAGAGCUGGGAUCAACUGUGUGUGUGCAUGUGUGUGUCUGUGUGUGUGUGAGUUGGAGUAGGGGGCAGGGAGAAAAGAGUGGGGUGGUGGUGGCUUGUAGUGCAGCUCAGGGCCACCAGGUGGUGUCCAG
RNAcentral lists this long non-coding RNA (1859 nucleotides) under Homo sapiens (human). RNAcentral describes it as "HSALNT0177999". The record is from RNAcentral. Lineage: Eukaryota; Metazoa; Chordata; Mammalia; Primates; Hominidae.